This 464-nucleotide ribosomal RNA is filed under the name uncultured bacterium. Its description in RNAcentral is "partial 16S ribosomal RNA". It matches the Rfam family "Bacterial small subunit ribosomal RNA", at positions 28 to 507 of the family's 1533-position model. The record is from RNAcentral.
GACGAAUGCUGGCGGCGUGCUUAACACAUGCAAGUCGAACGGAAAGGCCCUGCUUGCAGGGUACUCGAGUGGCGAACGGGUGAGUAACACGUGGGUGAUCUGCCCUGCACUUCGGGAUAAGCCUGGGAAACUGGGUCUAAUACCGGAUAGGAGCCAUUUUUAGUGCGAUGGUUGGAAAGUUUUUUCGGUGUAGGAUGAGCUCGCGGCCUAUCAGCUUGUUGGUGGGGUAAUGGCCUACCAAGGCGGCGACGGGUAGCCGGCCUGAGAGGGUGGACGGCCACAUUGGGACUGAGAUACGGCCCAGACUCCUACGGGAGGCAGCAGUGGGGAAUAUUGCACAAUGGGCGCAAGCCUGAUGCAGCGACGCCGCGUGGGGGAUGACGGCCUUCGGGUUGUAAACUCCUUUCGCUAGGGACGAAGCUUUUGUGACGGUACCUAGAUAAGAAGCACCGGCUAACUACGUG